UGGGGAAUAUUGCACAAUGGGCGAAAGCCUGAUGCAGCGACGCCGCGUGAGGGAUGACGGCCUUCGGGUUGUAAACCUCUUUCAGUAGGGACGAAGCGCAAGUGACGGUACCUGCAGAAGAAGCACCGGCUAACUACGUGCCAGCAGCCGCGGUAAUACGUAGGGUGCGAGCGUUGUCCGGAAUUACUGGGCGUAAAGAGCUCGUAGGCGGUUUGUCACGUCGUCUGUGAAAUCCUAGGGCUUAACCCUGGACGUGCAGGCGAUACGGGCUGACUUGAGUACUACAGGGGAGACUGGAAUUUCUGGUGUAGCGGUGGAAUGCACAGAUAUCAGGAAGAACACCGAUAGCGAAGGCAGGUCUCUGGGUAGUAACUGACGCUGAGGAGCGAAAGCAUGGGUAGCGAACAGG
Molecule: ribosomal RNA, 409 nt
Filed under: bacterium
Lineage: Bacteria
Description: partial 16S ribosomal RNA
Rfam family: Bacterial small subunit ribosomal RNA
Source: RNAcentral